GGAACGAGAAGACACUCAUGUAGGAGUCGGC
This 31-nucleotide non-coding RNA is filed under the name Homo sapiens (human). Lineage: Eukaryota; Metazoa; Chordata; Mammalia; Primates; Hominidae. The record is from RNAcentral.